GGGCCCGUAGCUUAGCUUGGAUAGAGCGCCGGCCUUCGGAGCCGGUGGUCCGGGGUUCAAAUCCCCGCGGGCCCGCCA
This 78-nucleotide transfer RNA is filed under the name Ignisphaera aggregans. RNAcentral's name for it is "tRNA-Arg". It matches the Rfam family "tRNA". From Rfam's summary of the family: Transfer RNA (tRNA) molecules are approximately 80 nucleotides in length. Their secondary structure includes four short double-helical elements and three loops (D, anti-codon, and T loops). Further hydrogen bonds mediate the characteristic L-shaped molecular structure. tRNAs have two regions of fundamental functional importance: the anti-codon, which is responsible for specific mRNA codon recognition, and the 3' end, to which the tRNAs corresponding amino acid is attached (by aminoacyl-tRNA synthetases). tRNAs cope with the degeneracy of the genetic code in two manners: having more than one tRNA (with a specific anti-codon) for a particular amino acid; and 'wobble' base-pairing, i.e. permitting non-standard base-pairing at the 3rd anti-codon position. The record is from RNAcentral. Lineage: Archaea; Thermoproteati; Thermoproteota; Thermoprotei; Desulfurococcales; Desulfurococcaceae.